GCCUGUAGCUCAGUUGGUUAGAGCGCACGCCUGAUAAGCGUGAGGUCGCUAGUUCAAUUCUAGCCAGGCC
Molecule: transfer RNA, 70 nt
Filed under: marine eukaryotic metagenome
Rfam family: tRNA
About the family: Transfer RNA (tRNA) molecules are approximately 80 nucleotides in length. Their secondary structure includes four short double-helical elements and three loops (D, anti-codon, and T loops).
Source: RNAcentral